AUAAAUGUUGUAUUAUAAAGUCUAUGUGAUAACGUGAUGAUGAUAAUGUGUUGCUUGUGUAUUGUUUUAUGAAUCUCACCCAGGUAAAUGGAAAGUAAACGUUUUUAUGAACAAAUGAGUUUAUUACAAAUUAUGCUCCAUUGGUCGUUUUUGUUUUCUACCCACCCUUACUCCUGUGGCAGUGAGGUAGAGUGAUGUCUUUACUGGGCUAGUGUAGCUCACUCCUUACUUAACCAUUUCAGAUCAGGAAGACGUGGUUCCCGAGCCUGUUCCGCAGGAAGACGGCGAAGAGGACGCCUAAAGAUCCCAUAGUUAUAAUUGUAGUCUUACUUUCGAGCAUUUAUUUUAAUUAGUUUAUUCCCUCAUUUGUUGAACACGUUUUGGUAUUGCGUAAGGGAUAUUAAUUGCAAUGUUUAAUACACUUCCGCAAAUUCAGAUUUUUUAUCUAUAUAUAUGCCCU
RNAcentral lists this long non-coding RNA (460 nucleotides) under Carica papaya (papaya). RNAcentral's name for it is "long non-coding RNA (CPAP_LNC013453)". Lineage: Eukaryota; Viridiplantae; Streptophyta; Magnoliopsida; Brassicales; Caricaceae. The record is from RNAcentral.